This is a non-coding RNA of Xyrichtys novacula (pearly razorfish), 101 nucleotides long. The record is from the annotation of a GenBank genome assembly. NCBI's taxonomy places the organism in Eukaryota, Metazoa, Chordata, Actinopteri, Labriformes, Labridae.
UGGUGGGCUGUUGAUGACAGAUAUUCAUCUUUCUUAAAGAAAGAUGAAUAUCUGUCAUCUUUCUUAAAGAAAGAUGAAUAUCUGUCAUCAACAGCCCACCA